CCUACGGGAGGCAGCAGUGAGGAAUAUUGGUCAAUGGGCGGAAGCCUGAACCAGCCAAGUAGCGUGCAGGAUGAAGGCCCUACGGGUUGUAAACUUCUUUUAUACGGGAAUAAAGUGCCUUACGUGUAGGGCUUUGCAUGUACCUUAUGAAUAAGGAUCGGCUAAUUCCGUGCCAGCAGCCGCGGUAAUACGGAAGGUCCGGGCGUUAUCCGGAUUUAUUGGGUUUAAAGGGUGCGUAGGCGGCAUUUUAAGCGUGCUGUGAAAUGGCCGGGCUCAACCCGGGCCUUGCAGCGGGAACUGGGGGGCUUGAGUGCGCGGGAGGCAGGCGGAAUUCGUCGUGUAGCGGUGAAAUGCUUAGAUAUGACGAAGAACCCCGAUUGCGAAGGCAGCUUGCUGCA
RNAcentral lists this ribosomal RNA (398 nucleotides) under uncultured bacterium. Its description in RNAcentral is "partial 16S ribosomal RNA". It matches the Rfam family "Bacterial small subunit ribosomal RNA", at positions 338 to 733 of the family's 1533-position model. The record is from RNAcentral.